UGAAGAAAUUAGUUAUUUUAGAUUUAGUGUAGUUUGUUAGUAAAUUUUAGCAAUUAUCUCUUGAAGUUAUGAACAACCAAAAAGUUGUUCAUAACAAUUGGUGCUCUCAUUGAGAGUUUUUCAUUGCCAUGACUUCUCUCUACCAUAACCCGUUUCUCUACCACGAUCCUACCAUCAUCAAUGUUCGCACCUUGUUGAAACCACAAGGCUAUCAACAACCAACCUACAGCAACACUUCACCCUCACAGCCGAACCAAUUCAUUUCUCCACCAUCCAUACCUUCCAUCAACAAACCCUUGUUUCCCUCAAAUUUCACUCACCUCAACACU
RNAcentral lists this long non-coding RNA (329 nucleotides) under Trifolium pratense (red clover). Its description in RNAcentral is "long non-coding RNA (TPRA_LNC013926)". Lineage: Eukaryota; Viridiplantae; Streptophyta; Magnoliopsida; Fabales; Fabaceae. The record is from RNAcentral.